RNAcentral lists this ribosomal RNA (253 nucleotides) under uncultured bacterium. Its description in RNAcentral is "partial 16S ribosomal RNA". It matches the Rfam family "Bacterial small subunit ribosomal RNA", at positions 524 to 776 of the family's 1533-position model. The record is from RNAcentral.
UACGUAGGGGGCGAGCGUUGUCCGGAAUUAUUGGGCGUAAAGAGCGUGUAGGCGGUUCGGUAAGUCUGCCGUGAAAACCUGAGGCUCAACCUCGGGCGUGCGGUGGAUACUGCCGGGCUAGAGGACGGUAGAGGCGAGUGGAAUUCCCGGUGUAGCGGUGAAAUGCGCAGAUAUCGGGAGGAACACCAAUGGCGAAGGCAGCUCGCUGGGACGGUACUGACGCUGAGACGCGAAAGCGUGGGGAGCAAACAGG